Eriocheir sinensis (Chinese mitten crab) is the source of this 3115-nucleotide long non-coding RNA. RefSeq lists it as uncharacterized. The record is from RefSeq and is a predicted model, not a curated record. The transcript is spliced from 16 exons. NCBI's taxonomy places the organism in Eukaryota, Metazoa, Arthropoda, Malacostraca, Decapoda, Varunidae.
GUAACCUAGCCCGUAACAUAUUUUUUCUUUUUCACGGCUAAAAUACAUCUUUCCUGCACUAAUCUCAUGUAUCCACGUAUGCACGGGCGUGGAAGGCUGUCGUGGGAAUCAAACUCGGGCUCUCUCAUUUGUGAGCCGAGUGUGCUAACCACUGCACCACGAAGCCCCCUGCUGGGUUGGGAGAGGGGGGGGGCGGAUUGUUUGCAUAUGUGGACAUUUUUUGUGGUGUGUAGUGGGCUGGUGUAAUAGUGGUUUAGGUCUGGUAAUUCCUUGUAUUUUACAGAAACCACUACAAGCCUGAGAUGACUCGCCCCACCUUCCUGGCCUGCCCGCCCCCUGGCAUAAAUUGUUUCCAGAAACCCCUAAAUGACCGACUCUUCCAUGUCUGAGAUGACCCGCCCUGCCCUGCGUCAUGACCUCCCGGCAUACAUUGAAACCACUACAUGCCUGAGAUGACUCGCCCCGCCCUGCCCCACCUUCCUGGCCUGCCUGCCCCCUGGCAUAAAUUGAAACCACUACAUGCCUGAGAUGACUAGCCCCACCUUCCUGGCCUGCCCGCCCCCUGGCAUAAAUUGUUUCCAGAAACCCCUAAAUGACCGACUCUUCCAUGUUUGAGAUGACCCGCCCUGCCCUGCGUCAUGACCUCCCGGCAUACAUUGAAACCACUACAUGCCUGAGAUGACUCGCCCCGCCCUGCCCCACCUUCCUGGCCUGCCUGCCCCCUGGCAUAAAUUGAAACCACUACAUGCCUGAGAUGACUAGCCCCACCUUCCUGGCCUGCCCGCCCCCUGGCAUAAAUUGUUUCCAGAAACCCCUAAAUGACCGACUCUUCCAUGUCUGAGAUGACCCGCCCUGCCCUGCGUCAUGACCUCCCGGCAUACAUUGAAACCACUACAUGCCUGAGAUGACUCGCCCCGCCCUGCCCCACCUUCCUGGCCUGCCUGCCCCCUGGCAUAAAUUGAAACCACUACAUGCCUGAGAUGACUAGCCCCACCUUCCUGGCCUGCCCGCCCCCUGGCAUAAAUUGUUUCCAGAAACCCCUAAAUGACCGACUCUUCCAUGUCUGAGAUGACCCGCCCUGCCCUGCGUCAUGACCUCCCGGCAUACAUUGAAACCACUACAUGCCUGAGAUGACUCGCCCCGCCCUGCCCCACCUUCCUGGCCUGCCUGCCCCCUGGCAUAAAUUGAAACCACUACAUGCCUGAGAUGACUAGCCCCACCUUCCUGGCCUGCCCGCCCCCUGGCAUAAAUUGUUUCCAGAAACCCCUAAAUGACCGACUCUUCCAUGUCUGAGAUGACCCGCCCUGCCCUGCGUCAUGACCUCCCGGCAUACAUUGAAACCACUACAUGCCUGAGAUGACUCGCCCCACCUUCCUGGCCUGCCCGCCCCCUGGCAUAAAUUGUUAAUGGGCAAAGUGUUCUUGCAAAGACAAAGAAUAAUGGGGAGAGAUACACUUUAUUGAAAAAAUGAAAACGAGAAAAGAAAUGACAAUAAACAUUCCCUGCCCUCUUGUCGCCAGUCACUCGAUCACUCCUGGUCGGCUAGUACGAAGCCUUCAAAGUCGUCACCCAAAUUCUCUGGGGCUACUUCAUUGUCCACAAGCAGAUCAUUAUCCUCUCCAUCAUCAUGUUCAGCAACAACAGCAGGUGGCAUAUCUUCUCGCUUGUCACGGUUACGUAAGUAGCGUGUGAUCAAGGCUUGUUGAAGGUUGUUGACUCGGGUUUCGUACAUCAGUUUGUAUUCAUUUAAUCCCUUUUGAAUUGUGUGGAUGCAUGUCUCACGUCGGUCCGAAUUUGAAUCAAAUUUGUAAAUGGCCUCCUUCAAUUUUUCUGUUAUUGCAAAUAUUUCUGUUAACUGCUGAACUGUUGGCUCAUCUUUCUUCUCUUUUUCUUCCUCCUCCUCAUCAUCAGCCUCCUCAUCAUCAAUCAUGUCUUCUGCACUACGUUCAGCGACUCCUCCAUCAAUGAGAACUUCCAUAUCAGCAACACUGACAUUCUCAUACCCCGUGAUGGGUAACGUUUUAGCCACCUGAAGCAACGUGUCCAUAGCGGCCGCUACGCGCUGCCUGUCACCGCCGCUCAUUUCUGUCUUCACCCACGGGAGAACCUUCCUCCAUCCAUGCUUCACCGUUGCAAUAUUGACAAAGUGCCAGCAUUCUACCAUUAAGUCCACUGCUUUCUUGAUAUUAAAAUUACAAAAGAAAGUCUGUGCAGUCAUAAUCUGCUUGGGUCUGCCUGGCGGCACUGCUUGGAAUGUUGUAUCAGGUGUGUGCUGCACUGUCUGUGAGUGGUGUGGGGCCCCAACCUCUGCAGUGGUCAGUGGCAUGGCUGACUGAAAUACAUGAAAAAUAAACUCUGAUGGGUCAACCUAAACAACAAGAAGUGUUAAAAAAAAAAAAACGUACGAUGUCAUAGGUUGUAAUGAAGGGGGCAUGAGUAGCGUUGCCAGACGUACGCACAAACAUACAUACCUCUGCUUGUGGAUGAACACCUGUCUGGCCGUAUGGCUCAUCACUCACGUGCACAUCAUCCACCUGCAGCUGUCUCUGUAAAAUUGUGAUAUCAAUAAUGUCAAUGAUAAUGUUUAUAAUGAUAAUUAUGAUCAUUGUGUUAGCCAUCACAAGGAAACGUUUCAAGGACGCUGCAUGUGUAGCCUGCGCGUCUCUCUCUCUCUCUCUCUCUCUGUGUGUGUGUGUGUGUGUGUGUGUGUGUGUUCAGAGCAACGUUAAGUUGUAGGCUACAUGUGCAAUUCUCUCUCUCUCUCUCUCUCUCUCUCUCUCUCUCUCUCUCUCUCUCUCUCUCUCUCUCUCUCUCUCUCUCUCUCUCUCUCUCUCUCUCUCUCUCUCUCUCUCUCUCUCUCUCUGAGCAAUUAAAGCACCCAAGAGUCCAAAUCAUAUCAUUCAUUGUACAAACCUCUGCUGAAGGGUCGCCUGUCUGCUUGUCUGGCUCGUCAAUCUCCUCCUCCACUUGCAGCUGUAGAGUAAAAACAAUAAUGAUGUUGAUAAUAUAAUUUGUCAGGUUUGUAAUAAACACGAAUCCUCUCUCUCUCUCUCUCUCUCUCUCUCUCUCUCUCUCUCUCUCUCUCUCUCUCUCUCUCUCUCUCUCUCUCUCUCUC